RNAcentral lists this ribosomal RNA (643 nucleotides) under uncultured bacterium. Its description in RNAcentral is "bacterial SSU rRNA". It matches the Rfam family "Bacterial small subunit ribosomal RNA", at positions 232 to 885 of the family's 1533-position model. The record is from RNAcentral.
CGCGGCCUAUCAGCUUGUUGGUGGGGUAACGGCCUACCAAGGCGACGACGGGUAGCCGGCCUGAGAGGGCGACCGGCCACACUGGGACUGAGACACGGCCCAGACUCCUACGGGAGGCAGCAGUGGGGAAUGUUGCACAAUGGGCGCAAGCCUGAUGCAGCAACGCCGCGUGAGGGACGACGGCCUUCGGGUUGUAAACCUCUUUUAGUAGGGAAGAAGCGAAAGUGACGGUACCUGCAGAAAAAGCACCGGCUAACUACGUGCCAGCAGCCGCGGUAAUACGUAGGGUGCAAGCGUUAUCCGGAAUUAUUGGGCGUAAAGAGCUCGUAGGCGGUUUGUCGCGUCUGCUGUGAAAACUGGAGGCUCAACCUCCAGCCUGCAGUGGGUACGGGCAAACUAGAGUGCGGUAGGGGAGAUUGGAAUUCCUGGUGUAGCGGUGGAAUGCGCAGAUAUCAGGAGGAACACCGAUGGCGAAGGCAGAUCUCUGGGCCGUAACUGACGCUGAGGAGCGAAAGCAUGGGGAGCGAACAGGAUUAGAUACCCUGGUAGUCCAUGCCGUAAACGUUGGGCGCUAGAUGUGGGGACCAUUCCACGGUUUCCGUGUCGCAGCUAACGCAUUAAGCGCCCCGCCUGGGGAGUACGG